RNAcentral lists this unclassified non-coding RNA (286 nucleotides) under Hevea brasiliensis (rubber tree). Lineage: Eukaryota; Viridiplantae; Streptophyta; Magnoliopsida; Malpighiales; Euphorbiaceae. The record is from RNAcentral.
AAUUUAACUCAAUUUCUGUGUUUAACAUUCACUGGGGACAAAAAGGAAUGUGAUUUGAAGGACAUGCACAUGCCAGUAUGUGUGUGCAUGUGUUUAGAGAAACAAAGCUCCUUGACAUCUUGUAAACAAUUAAUGAACUCUGAAAACAUUCUUCUCCAGUAUGCUGUCAUCAAAGUGACUGCAGAACUCUAAACCUAAGCCAUUUGGAUAGACCCAACAAAAAAAUGAUGACGAAUAAAAAGAUUUUGUAUGCAUUCCUUACCUUAAACAAAGAUUACACUUUGUU